UACGUAGGGGGCGAGCGUUAUCCGGAAUUACUGGGCGUAAAGCGCGUGUAGGCGGCUCGAUAAGUCUGCUGUGAAAGUUCAGGGCUCAACCCUGAAAUGCCGGUGGAAACUGUCGAGCUAGAGUCCGGAAGAGGCGAGUGGAAUUCCUGGUGUAGCGGUGAAAUGCGCAGAUAUCAGGAGGAACACCAAUGGCGAAGGCAGCUCGCUGGGACGGUACUGACGCUGAGACGCGAAAGCGUGGGGAGCAAACAGG
This 253-nucleotide ribosomal RNA is filed under the name uncultured bacterium. RNAcentral describes it as "partial 16S ribosomal RNA". It matches the Rfam family "Bacterial small subunit ribosomal RNA", at positions 524 to 776 of the family's 1533-position model. The record is from RNAcentral.